Molecule: ribosomal RNA, 57 nt
Filed under: Fusarium sacchari
Lineage: Eukaryota; Fungi; Ascomycota; Sordariomycetes; Hypocreales; Nectriaceae
Description: partial small subunit ribosomal RNA
Rfam family: Eukaryotic small subunit ribosomal RNA
Source: RNAcentral
UUGGAAGUAAAAGUCGUAACAAGGUCUCCCGUUGGUGAACCAGCGGAGGGAUCAUUA